Pedobacter sp. PACM 27299 is the source of this 110-nucleotide regulatory RNA element. It matches the Rfam family "SAM riboswitch aptamer (S box leader)". Rfam says of the family: The SAM riboswitch is found upstream of a number of genes which code for proteins involved in methionine or cysteine biosynthesis in Gram-positive bacteria. The SAM riboswitch acts at the level of transcription termination control. The record is from Rfam. NCBI's taxonomy places the organism in Bacteria, Pseudomonadati, Bacteroidota, Sphingobacteriia, Sphingobacteriales, Sphingobacteriaceae.
AGCUUAUAGAGAAAGACGGAGGGAUUAGACCCUGCGAUGUCUUAGCAACCUGUGCUUACAAGGUGCUACAUUCUACCGGAACCGGACCAUCGGUACCCGAAAGAUAAGUU